Molecule: ribosomal RNA, 218 nt
Filed under: uncultured bacterium
Lineage: Bacteria
Description: partial 16S ribosomal RNA
Rfam family: Bacterial small subunit ribosomal RNA
Source: RNAcentral
CGUACAGAACCUUCCUUUGAGUGGGGGAUAGCCCGGAGAAAUCCGGAUUAAUAUCCCAUAGUAUUAUUGUGUGGCAUCACAUAAUGAUUAAAGAUUUAUUGCUCAGAGAUGGCUGUGCGGCUGAUUAGGUAGUUGGCGGGGUAAAGGCCCACCAAGCCUGCGAUCAGUAACUGGUGUGAGAGCACGACCAGUCACACGGGCACUGAGACACGGGCCCG